CAGCUCAAAUUUGAAAUCUGGCCCCCAGGGCCCGAGUUGUAAUUUGCAGAGGAUGCUUUUGGCGCGGUGCCUUCCGAGUUCCCUGGAACGGGACGCCAUAGAGGGUGAGAGCCCCGUCUGGUCGGACGCCUAGCCUGUGUAAAGCUCCUUCGACGAGUCGAGUAGUUUGGGAAUGCUGCUCUAAAUGGGAGGUAUAUGUCUUCUAAAGCUAAAUACCGGCCAGAGACCGAUAGCGCACAAGUAGAGUGAUCGAAAGAUGAAAAGCACUUUGAAAAGAGGGUUAAAUAGUACGUGAAAUUGUUGAAAGGGAAGCGCUUGUGACCAGACUUGGGCCCGGUGGAUCAUCCAGCGUUCUCGCUGGUGCACUCCGCCGGGUUCAGGCCAGCAUCAGUUCGCCGCGGGGGAAAAAGGCUUCGGGAACGUGGCUCCUACGGGAGUGUUAUAGCCCGUUGCAUAAUACCCUGGGGCGGACUGAGGUUCGCGCUCCGCAAGGAUGCUGGCGUAAUGGUCAUCAGCGACCC
RNAcentral lists this ribosomal RNA (521 nucleotides) under Purpureocillium lilacinum. RNAcentral's name for it is "partial large subunit ribosomal RNA". It matches the Rfam family "Eukaryotic large subunit ribosomal RNA", at positions 104 to 650 of the family's 3401-position model. The record is from RNAcentral. Lineage: Eukaryota; Fungi; Ascomycota; Sordariomycetes; Hypocreales; Ophiocordycipitaceae.